ACGAAGGAGGGGAAAAGAGACCUCAGGCUCAGGGCCCAUCUAGAAGCCAGCUGAGUCAUUGCUCCUCCUGUUGGGUCAGAAACCACCUUCCACAAAAGGCUGGGAGAUGGCUGCCCUGGGCGUGGGCACGAGGCUUUGCAGGAGACACAUCUGCCCUGAGAGUCCCCAAGCCUGCUUGGCAGCCUCCUCUGGGUGCAAGACUCCCACACUGGUUUCCGGAGGCUGCAAGCUAGACGGCAGUCUUCCCCAAACACAUUGAAGGUAAAGAAAUGAUAAAGCCUCUCCCAUGAGCUGGGCACUCGGGACACAUCAGAGAAGACAAGGCCCCGCCCCCCUGGCUUACAAACCACCCAGGCAAUAAGAGAACAUGUGAUGGACACGGUCAAGGGACACAAGGGGGGUGACCACGAGCUGGUCAGGCAGCUUUUAGUCGGAGUCAACUUGUGGUUUGUGAAGACACGGGUGGACAUGGCCGUGGGGAAAGACCAGGAGGGAGGCACCGGGAAAGCUUAUUCCUGCUUCGGGGAACACUAUGAAGCUUGCAACUGCUGGCCGAGGGAGCUUCGGGGCCUGAGAAAGCUUGGAAAGAAGGCUAGUGCUGCCAUUGACAGUGACUGCCAGCAGGUAUGUCCCAUUAUCUCCCAGGGCCUCAGCUGUCUCCUCAGUGAACUGGGCAUAGUGAUGCCCACUUUGCAGAGAGGCAGUGAGGACUGAAGACCAUCACGUGAGUGCAGUGCCUCGCACACAGAGUCCUCCUCUCUCCUCCACCGCCCUUUCCCUCACUGUUUCAUGUUUCCGUCUAGGAAAACAGGUGAAUAAGAUCCUGUCCCUUAAAAAAGUUAGGCGACAGGGAAUUCCCGUCAUGGCUCAGGAGUUACAAACCUGACUAGGACCCAUGAGGAUGUGGGUUCGAUCCCUAGCCUCGCUCAGUGGGUUAAGGAUCUGGCGUUGCCGUGAGCUGUGGUGUAUGUCACAGAAGUAGCUCGGAUCCUGUGUGGCUGUGCCUGUGGGUGGCAGCUGCAGCUUUAAUUUGACCCCUAGCCUGAGAACUUCCAUAUGCUGCAGGUGCAGCCCUUAAAAAAAAAAGACCAAAAAAAAGAAAGAAAGAAAGAAAGAAAGAAACUUAGGUGACACAAUAGGGCCAAAGAAACACGUGGCUGGGGAGUUCAAGAUGUGGCUUUACCUCUCUGUCUCUUAAUGGAGGUAAUAACACCUACCCUUUCUCUCGAGUUUGUAGGAAGAUGAAAUAAGACAACUCCGGUAAAGC
Molecule: long non-coding RNA, 1267 nt
Filed under: Sus scrofa (pig)
Lineage: Eukaryota; Metazoa; Chordata; Mammalia; Artiodactyla; Suidae
Description: lncRNA (ENSSSCG00035026848.1)
Source: RNAcentral